AACGAACGCUGGCGGCAUGCCUAACACAUGCAAGUCGAACGAGACCUUCGGGUCUAGUGGCGCACGGGUGCGUAACGCGUGGGAACCUGCCCUUAGGUUCGGAAUAACUCCCCGAAAGGGGUGCUAAUACCGGAUAAUGUCUUCGGACCAAAGAUUUAUCGCCUUUGGAUGGGCCCGCGUUGGAUUAGCUAGUUGGUAGGGUAAAAGCCUACCAAGGCGACGAUCCAUAGCUGGUCUGAGAGGAUGAUCAGCCACACUGGGACUGAGACACGGCCCAGACACCUACGGGGGGGAGCAGGGGGGAAAAUUGGACAAAGGGGGAAAGCCUAACCCCGAAAGGCCGGGUGAGUGAUGAAGGCCUUGGGGUUGAAAAGCAUUUUUACCCGGGGUGGUAAGAACAGGCCCGGGAAAAAAAACCCGGGCAAACUCGUG
This 432-nucleotide ribosomal RNA is filed under the name uncultured bacterium. Its description in RNAcentral is "partial 16S ribosomal RNA". It matches the Rfam family "Bacterial small subunit ribosomal RNA", at positions 29 to 507 of the family's 1533-position model. The record is from RNAcentral.